ACUUUCCAAUUGGGGAAUAUCCUUUGUUGUCACAUAGGAUUAUCAUUCUGGAGCUAAUCGGAACUCAAGAGGCCAACUACUACACUUCCCUAAAUUUACAGGUUAAAAAGUCAUAGGGACGUUAUGUGAUUUACCAAAGGCGAAAGUAGGAAGUGGUGGAGCUGAGAUACACGCCCGGAUGUGCAGGUCCUCCUGACUCCACAGUCAAUGCUCUUCUCACUCUACCAUGUUGCCUCCAAAUGUAUCACUUCCCAACGUAGCUUAGACAUCCUACCUUUAUCGGAGAUUUACUCCAAUGCUUCAUUUCCAGUUGACUGAUUCUCUUCUAAUCAUAGCUACAUCAAUUUUGUCAAUGCAAAAGCUUUUUUUUUUAAAAAAAGUUACUUUUUUGAGUUUAUAACCUGAUAUCUGCUAAAUUGCUUUCUAGUUUUCCCAGCAUUUUUUACUUUGGUCAAAAUUGAGUCAUUUUUCCUAGGAAUGGAUAUCCUUGGGUUUGGGUUAUACAACAAUAACUCAACUGUGGCCCCAAGAAGCUGCCCGUGAGUUAGGGGGCGUCUACCCCGGCAUGUGAAGCCCCCCCGCGGAAUGGGCGGAUGAGAACAGGGUGCUCCAGGAGCCACGAGAGCGGCUGCAGCAGGCUCUGGGAGUGCGUGAAGCUUUGUCAGACAGGGAACACGCCAAGGUCAUCCACUACAUGCCGGUCCUCGCCAGUCUUUGCACUUGGAGGACUCUGCAGGAAAGUGAGGCUGACGACUCUGGGCAGCUUUGCCUCGCUUAAACCCUAUUCAUGCCACUCUGGGCGUCACUUUGGACGUCAUUGGUGCUUCUCCGGAAAAACAACAACAACAAUGGGAGGACCAGGGCAGAAAUAGCCGCAGGACUACGAUUCCCAGAAGGCUGCGGACUGCGAUGGGUUCAUGGGACGAGACUGAGGUUUCCCAGAAUCCACCCCGGCGUAGACCAGAAGCCUCCGGGCGCGGGCACAGUCUUUGGAUUCCCGAUGGAUUCUGGGAAUCAGAGUUCGUUCCUGAAUGUGCGCAGGCGCAAUACCUGGACUAUAGGGAUUCGGGCCGGUUCUUUUGUUUUGUUUUUGUUUUUGUUUUUGUUUUGCCGCGGGGGAGUGAUUGUGAGUGAAUGUGUUAGCGUCACCGUAGCUUCUCAAGACUUUAAUGAAAAAGUGAGAAAGUGGUGAAGAGAAUGGCCUCUGAAGCCUAACAGCCUUGUCCCAGAAAUUGUUAACACUGCAAGAUGUGGUUGUAGACUUCACCCAAGAGGAAUGGAGCCUGUUGGAUCCUGCUGAGAAGGACCUUUUCUG
Molecule: long non-coding RNA, 1315 nt
Organism: Phascolarctos cinereus (koala)
Lineage: Eukaryota; Metazoa; Chordata; Mammalia; Diprotodontia; Phascolarctidae
Source: RefSeq, a predicted model, not a curated record